GAUGAACGCUGGCGGCGUGCCUAAUACAUGCAAGUCGAGCGAACGGACGAGAAGCUUGCUUCUCUGAUGUUAGCGGCGGACGGGUGAGUAACACGUGGAUAACCUACCUAUAAGACUGGGAUAACUUCGGGAAACCGGAGCUAAUACCGGAUAAUAUUUUGAACCGCAUGGUUCAAAAGUGAAAGACGGUCUUGCUGUCACUUAUAGAUGGAUCCGCGCUGCAUUAGCUAGUUGGUAAGGUAACGGCUUACCAAGGCAACGAUGCAUAGCCGACCUGAGAGGGUGAUCGGCCACACUGGAACUGAGACACGGUCCAGACUCCUACGGGAGGCAGCAGUAGGGAAUCUUCCGCAAUGGGCGAAAGCCUGACGGAGCAACGCCGCGUGAGUGAUGAAGGUCUUCGGAUCGUAAAACUCUGUUAUUAGGGAAGAACAUAUGUGUAAGUAACUAUGCACAUCUUGACGGUACCUAAUCAGAAAGCCACGGCUAACUACGUGCCAGCAGCCGCGGUAAUACGUAGGUGGCAAGCGUUAUCCGGAAUUAUUGGGCGUAAAGCGCGCGUAGGCGGUUUUUUAAGUCUGAUGUGAAAGCCCACGGCUCAACCGUGGAGGGUCAUUGGAAACUGGAAAACUUGAGUGCAGAAGAGGAAAGUGGAAUUCCAUGUGUAGCGGUGAAAUGCGCAGAGAUAUGGAGGAACACCAGUGGCGAAGGCGACUUUCUGGUCUGUAACUGACGCUGAUGUGCGAAAGCGUGGGGAUCAAACAGGAUUAGAUACCCUGGUAGUCCACGCCGUAAACGAUGAGUGCUAAGUGUUAGGGGGUUUCCGCCCCUUAGUGCUGCAGCUAACGCAUUAAGCACUCCGCCUGGGGAGUACGACCGCAAGGUUGAAACUCAAAGGAAUUGACGGGGACCCGCACAAGCGGUGGAGCAUGUGGUUUAAUUCGAAGCAACGCGAAGAACCUUACCAAAUCUUGACAUCCUUUGACAACUCUAGAGAUAGAGCCUUCCCCUUCGGGGGGGCAAAGUGACAGGUGGUGCAUGGUUGUCGUCAGCUCGUGUCGUGAGAUGUUGGGUUAAGUCCCGCAACGAGCGCAACCCUUAAGCUUAGUUGCCAUCAUUAAGUUGGGCACUCUAAGUUGACUGCCGGUGACAAACCGGAGGAAGGUGGGGAUGACGUCAAAUCAUCAUGCCCCUUAUGAUUUGGGCUACACACGUGCUACAAUGGACAAUACAAAGGGCAGCGAAACCGCGAGGUCAAGCAAAUCCCAUAAAGUUGUUCUCAGUUCGGAUUGUAGUCUGCAACUCGACUACAUGAAGCUGGAAUCGCUAGUAAUCGUAGAUCAGCAUGCUACGGUGAAUACGUUCCCGGGUCU
This 1373-nucleotide ribosomal RNA is filed under the name uncultured bacterium. RNAcentral describes it as "bacterial SSU rRNA". It matches the Rfam family "Bacterial small subunit ribosomal RNA", at positions 28 to 1381 of the family's 1533-position model. The record is from RNAcentral.